Anas platyrhynchos (mallard) is the source of this 2021-nucleotide non-coding RNA. NCBI's taxonomy places the organism in Eukaryota, Metazoa, Chordata, Aves, Anseriformes, Anatidae. The record is from RefSeq and is a predicted model, not a curated record.
UCUUACUGAACUAGCAGCUUGUAGAUUAGUAACUGGAUUCUGCUCCCCCAAUAUCAUUGGGAGUUUUGCCAUUGACUUCAAUAGAUGCAGGACUGGACCCCUUGGAAACGCCUGAUUAUUGGAUAACUCCAAGCACUGGAGAGAGCUGACAUUGUUGACACAUAGCAGGAAUGAUAAAGCAGCUUUUGGGCAAAAGGACAAACUCCUCUUUGCACUCUGCAAAACCUUCUUUUUGUGUGCCUGAAAUCUCUGGGUGAAGAAGGAAACAUGGCAGUCUAUUUCUCUUCCAGGUUGGCAGCUUGGGUGGGAAACGUGAAAGACUCAAAAGGCUGCACCUAUGCUCCCAUUUCUGAGCAGAGGCCAACUUUGCUGAAGCCUGUGUGAUUCAGUGUAAUGCCGUUGGUUCAUACCAGCUGGGGAUGGACAAACCGAGGGCUGGUGACCAGAAGAUACUUGCUACCAGCUGAAAUUGAGGAUCCUUCACAGGUGGCAGGUGAGGACUCCACCUUGUUUUCUGGGAUAUCCCACAGCUCAGCUUCCACCUGCCUCAAGCUGCUCUAGGAGGUCUCCACAGUGAAUUAAAUGGAUUUAGGUCCUUUGUCCUAAAUGACAAGCCAGCUGUCACCUUUCGUGUCAGUGCAGAGGAGAAGCUAGGAGAGUGUCCUCACCACCACACAGUUGUGACUUCCUGAGGGGGGGAGAUGCUGUGGGCUCUUGAAUACAGGGGAUCCUGGUUAGCCCCAUUGGAAUAGGCUGUCAAUGUCCAGAUGAAAUUGAAUGGCAGGCACCUGAUAUUCAAUUUGUUUUUCAAAAUUUAAACAAAUGUAUUUGAUUUGGGAUGGGCUCCUAGGUUCAGGUUUCCCCCUGCGACUAGUGUUGAACUACUUUAACAAGGGAAAUCAUAUUUGUUGGUCUAAAGGCUCUAGGGUGCCUAGUCAACAACUUUUUUUUUUUCUUUCUUUCUUUAAUUGCUACAUGUCAUGUUACCUUAUUUUUAACUUGAUUUGCACCAGGGAAAACCAUGCUCCAGAAGAAUUGCAGAUACAGUUUGCAUUGUUUUCAGCCUUCUGCGUACUGGCCAAAUAGUUUCUAAAUCAUGUGUAUGCUCUCUCACUUUUUCACCCAUAAUUUACUCUGAAUAGGUUUCAGGAAUACUUACCCCAGUCAUUUCCCAGGCAGUGAUCUGGUAAGUAAUUCAAAAGUGUUCAUGGUCAUCAUUUAUUCAGAUUACAAACAGUGAAGCAAUUUAACAGUUGCUCAGAUAUGGAAACUCCUGAGACCAGCUUUCUUGCCUUUUUUCUCUUACUUUGUUCUUUUUUGAAAUAGGACCAUUCUGGUGUCCAUGAAAUGGAAAAUAAUUGUCCCACCAUUCUUGCAACUCAUAAAAAAAAUUGGAAUUCUACAUCCCCCUGCUGGAAAAAUGUUUUGAGAAUGCACACAACUUUAUGCCAUUACCUAAUCCUUGUGAACCUGGCAGUUUGGAAAGCAAAGCAAACUAAUAUAUAGCAAAUUCCUCCUCUUUUUCUGCUUAAUUAGUGGGUAGUCCACCUAUGAGAAUUCCUUUUAAAGCAACAGACCUUUUCUACCUAAGAAAUAUACUGGUCGUUCAACAAGGCACAGCAUUGCUGCAGAUUUUGUUGUGGAGAAUGUCUGAGAAAUGAAUGCCUUCACAGGAAAAUAAUAAUAAGGUUUAAAGGGGGUGGGGAAUCAGAAAUAACAAAUUAGUGUGAUAAAAUUGCCUUCAAAAUCCUGAUGAUGGAUGAAAAAUUCUCCUAAGUGAAUCCAGUAUGCUUAAUUAAACUUAAUUGUACAAAGAAUCAUUUGUAAAUGGCUAUAUGUGGAAAAGAAUAAAAAUGCUGGGUGUUAUCAUUUCUUCCCAAAGAUGCUGCUGCAAAAAGGCAUUGUGUUGUUGGCAGUAUUAAGCAAGCUGUGACAUCCAUCAAGAUGAAUGUGUUUACGUGCAUACCUGGUGACAUAAUUUGAAGUGGUAUAUUGUACAUAUAAAAUCCUGAUCAAACUUA